AAAUUCUUAGUAUAUAUAAGUAUAUUUAAUUGCAAAUUAAAGGGUUGAGAAUUUU
Molecule: transfer RNA, 55 nt
Filed under: Poteriostomum imparidentatum
Lineage: Eukaryota; Metazoa; Nematoda; Chromadorea; Rhabditida; Strongylidae
Description: tRNA-Cys
Source: RNAcentral